Molecule: long non-coding RNA, 199 nt
Organism: Eurytemora carolleeae
Lineage: Eukaryota; Metazoa; Arthropoda; Copepoda; Calanoida; Temoridae
Exons: 3
Source: RefSeq, a predicted model, not a curated record
GAUAAACAUACCAGUCGCAACUUCAGUAACGGCUCUAGAAGUUUGGUUCUUAGCUUGCAUAUUCAUCGUAUUUCUCUCUCUUGCUGAGUAUGCGAUUAUUCUUAGAGAAUCUGUGAGGCGAAAGAGAAAGAAAAAUAGAAAGCUGUCCUACUCCCUCUGCCAUGAAAACCACUUUGCAACCUCAAACUUCAUUCAGGUG